AGUGAACGCUGGCGGUAGGCCUAACACAUGCAAGUCGAACGGCAGCACAGUAAGAGCUUGCUCUUACGGGUGGCGAGUGGCGGACGGGUGAGGAAUACAUCGGAAUCUACUUUUUCGUGGGGGAUAACGUAGGGAAACUUACGCUAAUACCGCAUACGACCUACGGGUGAAAGCAGGGGAUCUUCGGACCUUGCGCGAUUGAAUGAGACGAUGUCGGAUUAGCUAGUUGGCGGGGUAAAGGCCCACCAAGGCGACGAUCCGUAGCUGGUCUGAGAGGAUGAGCAGCCACACUGGAACUGAGACACGGUCCAGACUCCUACGGGAGGCAGCAGUGGGGAAUAUUGGACAAUGGGCGCAAGCCUGAUCCAGCCAUACCGCGUGGGUGAAGAAGGCCUUCGGGUUGUAAAGCCCUUUUGUUGGGAAAGAAAAGCAGCAGGUUAAUACCCCGCUGUUCUGACGGUACCCAAAGAAUAAGCACCGGCUAACUUCGUG
This 492-nucleotide ribosomal RNA is filed under the name uncultured bacterium. RNAcentral's name for it is "partial 16S ribosomal RNA". It matches the Rfam family "Bacterial small subunit ribosomal RNA", at positions 29 to 507 of the family's 1533-position model. The record is from RNAcentral.